AAUCCGGGGGGCCCACCCCCCAAGGCUAAAUACUAGCUGGUGACCGAUAGUGAACUAGUACCGCGAGGGAAAGGUGAAAAGAACCCCUGUUAGGGGAGUGAAAUAGUACCUGAAAUCAUGUGCUUACAUGCUAUGGUAGCCUGCCGCAAGGCGGGUGGCCGUUUGCCUUUUGCAUAAUGAGUCCGCGAGUUAUUGUUAGCAGCAAGGUUAAGGGUGGUCUCCACCUGGAGCCGAAGCGAAAGCGAGUGCGAAACGUGCGUUCAGUUGCUGGCAAUAGACCCGAAGCCGUGUGAGCUAUCCAUGGGCAGGUUGAAGUCGCUGUAACAGGCGAUGGAGGACCGAACUUAUGAGGGCUGAAAACCUCUAGGAUGACCUGUGGAUUGGAGCGAAAGACUUAUCAAACUCGGUGAUAGCUGGUUCUCCUCGAAAUAACUUUAGGGUUAGCCUGCACGAAUGCUCGCCGCGGAGGUAGAGCACUGAAUGGAAUAGGGGCCUUACCGGGUUUCCGACGCCAAUCAAACUCCGAAUACCGCGGCAGUCACGUGUGGAGAUAGACUGUGGGGGAUAAGCUUCAUAGUCAAAAUGGAAACAGCCUAGAUCGCCAGCUAAGGCCCCUAAAACCGGUUCAGUGACUAAGGAUGUACGAUCGCUAAAACAGCUAGGAUGUUGGCUUAGAGGCAGCCAUCAUUUAAACAGUGCGUAACAGCUGACUAGUCGAGCGAUUGUGCGCCGAAAAUGAUCGGGACUAAACCGGUUGCCGAAGCUGCGGAUUUCCAGGAUCUUCGGAUCCUGGGAGUGGUAGAGGAGCGUUGUAUUUGCAUCGAAGCGCAAGGGUGACCGAACGUGGAGCGGAUACAAGUGAUUAUGCGGACAUGAGUAACGAAUAGCCGGAUGAGAAUUCCGGCCGCCGAAAUCCCAAGAUUUCCUGGGGAAGGUUCGUCCGCCCAGGGUUAGUCGGCCCCUAAGUCCAGGCCAAUUAGGCGUAGGCGAUGGGAAGCAGGUUUAAUAUUCCUGCACCGCCGAUGGGCGAUUAAGACGCGAUGGAGUACUCGGAAAGUUAAAUCAGCCGUCGAUUGGAAGUGACGGUUCAAGCCCGUAGGGGUGUGGCCAGGCAAAUCCGGCCGCGCAACCUGAAAGGCGACGAGACGUGGAGGCUUCGGCCGAAGCGGAUUGGUUGAUACUCUGCCGACAAGAAAAACUUCUAGCGAGCCCAUAGGCGACCGUAUCGUAAACCGACACAGGUGGGAAGGUAGAAUAUACCAAGGCGCGCGAGAGAAACCUCGUUAAGGAACUCGGCAAUCUAGCCCCGUAACUUCGGAAGAAGGGGUCCUCCUGACCGUUCGUGUAACAACAAAGCGGUUUGGAGGCGCAGUGAAAGGGCCCAGGCGACUGUUUAUCAAAAACACAGCACUAUGCCAACUCGCAAGAGGAUGUAUAUGGUGUGACACGUGACCAAUGCUGUAAGGUUAAGGUAAGGGGUUAGCCGCAAGGCGAAGCUUUGAACCGAAGCCCCAGUGAAUGUCGGCCGUAACUAUAACGGUCCUAAGGUAGCGAAAUUCCUUGUCGGGU
Molecule: ribosomal RNA, 1569 nt
Filed under: bioreactor sludge metagenome
Description: bacterial LSU rRNA
Rfam family: Bacterial large subunit ribosomal RNA
Source: RNAcentral